GGGAAAGGUAUUACCUGAGUACUGCAGUGAAUUAACUUAAGUUCGAAGGAUGAGAAGCCUGAAAGAACUCAAUGGAUGGAUAAUGCAAGGAGUAAAAAAUAAACCAAAAAAAAAAAAAAUGAAUGCAAAUCAUACUAAAAAGAAAAAUCUAAAACUAAUAUACAGAAAAAUAAAGUGAAGGAUGAACCUGAGUGAAGCUAAGGGUGGUAAACAGGGUCUGCAAGGGGAAUUUCUUCCACUGCAGGCACCGAUUGCCCAAAAGCUAUUUUGAGACGCUGUCCAUUCACUUUGAACACUCUACCAUCAUUAGGAUCCUCAAUUUCAACCGCUCCAUUUUCAAAGACUC
RNAcentral lists this long non-coding RNA (346 nucleotides) under Olea europaea subsp. europaea. The record is from RNAcentral. Lineage: Eukaryota; Viridiplantae; Streptophyta; Magnoliopsida; Lamiales; Oleaceae.